Non-coding RNA from Castor canadensis (American beaver), 693 nucleotides. The record is from RefSeq and is a predicted model, not a curated record. Lineage: Eukaryota; Metazoa; Chordata; Mammalia; Rodentia; Castoridae.
UAUCCAAAACAUACAUGUAUUUUUGUUCCUUAUCAUUCAAGUGUCGUACAUAUUAUUUCAGGUGACACCCUUGUGGAUUGCAUCCUUGGUGACUCAGCAUUUAGAAUUGUGGAAGGCCUUUGCAGGAUCACUUUAUAUUACUUUGUUGGGAAUACUGAUUAGGGGCUUAAGUGGGGUCUCACUGAUCUGAUGGAUAAGGGAGGUUAGCAGCUUCUUGUACAGGUAAUCAGCAACAUCUCUAUUUAUACCUGAAUUUCUUAUUAUUACUAGGUAACUCAAGCUGAAAUUGGAGGACAAGUCACAGUAAGACUGUGUUGGAAGACGAAAUGCUUGCCAGGAUGGGAGCUGGUUGGUGGAGAAUUUGAUUUGGAGAUGAACUUUAUUAUCCAGGAUGCUGAGAGUAUAACGUGCACAACAGAGUUUUUUGUGGCACUGUGGUGUAACAUGUCAAGUAGAAAUCAUGGAGCAAGUUUGCAGCCAUUGUAUGAAUAAGUGCUUGGAAUUUACAGACUAGCACAGAAUUUGGGUUGAUUGAACAAGUAUUGCUGAAAAUGCGUGCUGUAGAAGACAUGAUAGCAGACAAUUGCAUUGCCUCCUAUUGUAAAGUGGCCUUAUAGAAUGGCUUCACCCUGCACACUUGGUUUCACAUGGAUCCAUUAAAUAACAUUAAUGUUGAUGAGGAUAAACUUUAUC